This 5134-nucleotide long non-coding RNA is filed under the name Gossypium barbadense (sea-island cotton). Its description in RNAcentral is "long non-coding RNA (GBAR_LNC021151)". Lineage: Eukaryota; Viridiplantae; Streptophyta; Magnoliopsida; Malvales; Malvaceae. The record is from RNAcentral.
AGUGUUGGGCAUGGGAAAAUAGCAAUUUUUGGUCCCUAAGUGAAUAGUGACUUUGCAAGGUGGCCCUUGAAUCUCAACUAUAAAUAGGCCAACCAUUGCUCAUUCUCAUCAUCCCACAUUUGCCAUUCUCUACUUAAGGCAUUGUUCUCUCUCCCUAUUUGUAAAGUUUCACUUGUAUUUUUGGAGUGAAAUAUAUUUGGUAGUGCCCGAGGACGUAGGCAAGAUUUGCCGAACCUCGUUAAAAUUCUGGUGUUCUUUACUAUUUAUUGUUCAUAUUUUGUGAGUGUGAUUGUAGUGAUUUAUUGUGCUAUUAAAUUACGAUAGAGGGAUAUUCUGGCUAGGAAAGACUUGGUACUUAAGUGAUCCUCGUGAUUCACCUCUCUUUCCUGGGAAUUGAACUUAGUGUGAUUUUUUAGUACAAUAAUUUUACUCUUUCACACGCUUCCGCGCAACAAUUGGUAUCAGAGCCAGGUUCGUACUUGGAGAAUACGACCGUUUACGGUACUAUUCACGUAUACGGCACUAUUCACGUAUACGGUACUGUUCACGUAUACAGUAGUUGGGAUUGAGAAAUGGCAGCAGCAUCGUCAUCAGCAAGGACUACUGUGACAAAUGCAAAAUUUGAAGUAGAGAAAUUUGACGGUACCAAUAAUUUUGGUAUGUGGCAAUGUGAGAUCCUGGAUGUCUUAUGUCAGCAAGAGCUAGAUAUAGCCCUUGAAGAAAAACCUGACAAGAUGGAUGACAAGGAGUGGGCCAAGAUCAAUAGACAGGCGUGUGGUACAAUCCGCCUAUGUUUGGCCAAAGAGCAGAAGUAUUCUGUCAUGAGGGAGACAUCAGCGAAGAAGUUAUGGGAUACACUGGAAGAAAAGUUUCUAACGAAAAGUCUUGAAAAUAGGCUUUAUAUGAAAAAGAAACUUUAUCGAUUCACGUAUGCACCCGGUAUGUCGAUGAAUGACCAUGUGAACUCAUUCAAUAAAAUUUUAGCAGACUUGCUAAAUUUGGAUGAGAAAUUUGAAGAUGAAGACAAGGCAUUAUUAUUGUUGAAUUCCCUUCCUGAUGAAUAUGAUCAUCUUACCACCACAUUGCUUCAUGGGAAGGACACGAUCACAUUUGAUGCAGUCUGUAGUGCGUUGUAUAGAUCUGAGACUCGAAAGAAAGAUAAAAGAGAUCACAGAGAUACAACCGCAGAAGUCUUAACAGUAAGAGGUCGUUCACACAGCAGCAAACCUGGUAGAAGGGGUAAGUCCAAAGGGAGACCCGCCAAAGAUGAAUGUGCCUUUUGUCGUGAGAAAGGGCAUUGGAAAAAGAAUUGUCCUAAGUUACAAAAGGGCAAGUCUAUUUCUAAUGCAUGUGUAGCGGAGCAUGAUGAGGAGUCAGACUUUAGCUUGGUUGGCAUGGCAAUGGCAUGUCAAACGGAUGAGUGGAUAUUGGAUUCGGGAUGUACUUACCAUAUGUGUCCUAAUAAGGACUGGUUUUCUAGUCUUGAAGAACUAGAAGGUGGAGUUGUUUUUAUGGGCAAUGAUAGUGCCUGUAAGACAAUGGGUGUAGGUACAAUCAAAUUGAAGAACCAUGACGGCUCAAUCCAAGUUCUGACAGAUGUUCGCUAUGUACCCAGCUUGAAGAAAAAUCUCAUCUCAUUAGGGGCCCUAGAAUCUAAAGGGUUCACAAUCACUUUGAGAGAUGGAUUACUAAAGGUAGUAGCUGGGGUAUUGACGGUGAUGAAAGGCACUAGAAGAAAUAACUUGUACUAUUUAAAUGGAAGUACAGUUAUUGGAUCAACAUCAACAGCUUCUGCGAAAGAUGCAGAUUCAGAGGCUACCAGGUUAUGGCAUAGGCGAUUGGGACAUGCUGGUGAAAAAGCUUUGCAGACUUUGGCGAAGCAAGGCUUGUUGAAAGGUGCAAAUUCUUGCAAAUUGGAAUUCUGUGAACAUUGUGUUCUGGGCAAGCAGAAGAGGGUAAAAUUUGGUCCAGCAAUUCAGAAUACGAAAGGAAUUCUGGACUACGUUCACAGUGAUGUGUGGGGACCUACCAAAGUGGCUUCUUUGGGAGGUAUGCACUAUUUUGUCACUUUUCUUGAUGAUUAUUCAAGAAAAGUAUGGGUGUAUCUAAUGAAAAGAAAAAAUGAAGUUUUGGAUGCAUUUCUGAAGUGGAAGAAGAUGGUGGAGACUCAGACAGGUCGAAAGGUCAAACGACUUCGAUCAGAUAAUGGUACUGAGUACAAAAAUGAUCCAUUUCUACAAGUAUGUCAAGAUGAGGGCAUUGUGCGACACUUCACUGUUCGAGAUACACCACAGCAGAAUGGGGUGGCAGAACGCAUGAAUCGGACUAUACUGGAGAAAGUUCGAUGUAUGUUGUCCAAUGCUGGAUUGGGCAAGGAAUUUUGGGCUGAGGCAGUUACAUAUGCGUGCCAUCUAAUUAACCGAUUGCCAUCAGCUGCAAUAAAUGGAAAAACUCCGAUGGAGAUGUGGACUGGUAAACCUGCUACUGAUUAUGAUUCUUUACAUGUUUUUGGUUCCACUGCAUAUUAUCAUGUAAAAGAAUCUAAGUUAGACCCAAGAGCAAAGAAAGCAUUAUUCAUGGGUAUAACUGGUGGUGUAAAAGGAUACCGUCUCUGGUGUCUUGAUACAAGGAAGAUUGUUUUCAGUAGAGAUGUAACUUUUGAUGAAUCAACCAUGAUGAAGAACGAGGAUUCACAAAAGGAUGACAAAACCAGUAGUACUUUGCAGCAGGUGGAGUUUGAAAAGGUUAAUGAUGAUCCAGCUAAUAUUGAAAGAACAAAUGAUGAAGAAGUUUCGACCCAAGAACUUCUACAGCAACAAGAUUCAAUUGCAUAUAGGAGGCCAAGAAGAGAGAUUCGUAAGCCUGCUCGCUUUGACGAUAUGGUGGCCUAUGCACUUCCAAUUGCAGAUGAUGAUGUUCCUUCCACUUACACAGAAGCAAUAAGUAACUCUGAUGGUGUAAAGUGGAAGCAAGCUAUGAAUGAAGAAAUGCAGUCUCUUCAUAAAAAUAGGACUUGGGAGUUGGUGAGACUGCCCAAGGGAAAGAAGGCAAUUGGAUGCAAAUGGGUAUAUGCAAAGAAGGAACGAUUUCCUGGUAAAAAUGAAAUUCGAUACAAGGCUAGAUUGGUAGCAAAGGGUUACGCUCAGAAAGAAGGAAUAGACUACAAUGAAGUGUUUUCUCCAGUUGUGAAGCAUUCGUCUAUUCGGAUUUUGCUAGCCUUGGUUGCGCAAUAUGAUCUUGAACUAGUUCAGCUUGAUGUGAAGACCGCGUUUUUACACGGUGAUUUGGAAGAGGAAAUCUAUAUGACUCAGCCAGAUGGAUUCAAGGUUGCUGGAAAAGAAAAUUGGAUUUGCAAACUGACAAAGUCGCUUUAUGGAUUGAAGCAAUCUCCGAGGCAGUGGUACAAGCGAUUUGAUCAGUUCAUGAAAGGGCAAAGGUACACAAGAAGUAAAUUUGAUCAUUGCGUGUAUUUUCAGAAGCUACAAGAAGGAACUUUCAUAUACUUGCUCUUAUAUGUUGAUGAUAUGCUAAUAGCAUCUAAGAGCAAAGUUGAGAUUGAAAGAUUGAAGACUCAACUCAAUCUCGAGUUUGAGAUGAAAGAUCUAGGAGAAGCUAAAAAGAUUCUCGGCAUGGAAAUAUGUAGAGAUAGAGCUCAUGGCAGAGUUAGCUUGUCUCAGAAGCAGUAUUUGAAGAAAGUACUACAGCAGUUUGGUAUGAACGAGCAGACCAAACCUGUAAGUACCUCGUUGGCUUCUCAUUUCAAGCUUUCUGCACAACUAUCUCCUUCGACGAAUACGGAACAAGAAUACAUGUUGCAAGUUCCGUAUUCUAAUGCAGUGGGUAGCUUGAUGUAUGCAAUGGUGUGUACAAGACCCGACAUUUCACAGGCAAUUAGUAUAGUGAGCAGGUAUAUGCAUAAUCCUGGAAAAGGACAUUGGCAAGCUGUGAAAUGGAUUCUACGGUAUAUUCAGAAGACCGUGGAUGUUGGAUUACUGUUCAAGCAGGAUAAUACACUUGGUAAAGGUGUUAUUGGGUACGUUGAUUCUGACUAUGCCGGUGAUUUGGACAAGCGAAGAUCAACCACCGGUUAUGUGUUUACACUUGCUGGAGGACCAAUAAGUUGGAAGUCUACACUACAGUCUACAGUUGCAUUGUCAACCACAGAAGCCGAGUACAUGGCUGUAACAGAGGCUGUAAAGGAGGCUGUUUGGUUACAAGGUAUGGCUAAAACCUUGGGGUUGGUUCAGGAGCAUAUUAACGUGUAUUGUGAUAGUCAAAGUGCUAUUCAUUUAGCAAAGAAUCAAGUCUAUCAUGCACGUACAAAACAUAUCGACGUACGAUUCCAUUUUGUGCGGGAAAUUAUUGAAGAGGGGAAAAUUUGUCUUCAGAAGAUCAAGACUGCAGAUAAUCCCGCAGAUAUGAUGACCAAGGUGGUAACAGCAACCAAGUUCGAACAUUGUUUGAACUUGAUUAAUAUCCUGCAAGUUUAACAGUUGAAGAAGGCACUAUCAAGUAUUGUUGUCAAAAGCAGAAAGAAUUGUGUGAAGAUAAGAUUAUCCUAAUCAAAUCUUCAAGGUGGAGAUUAUUAGAAUAUACCCAUACCCCAUACCUUGCCCAUACCUUUCCCAUACCUACCCAUACUUUGGAAAGGUCAAAGUUAUGGGCACCAAAUAUUUUAUUUAGUGUUGGGCAUGGGAAAAUAGCAAUUUUUGGUCCCUAAGUGAAUAGUGACUUUGCAAGGUGGCCCUUGAAUCUCAACUAUAAAUAGGCCAACCAUUGCUCAUUCUCAUCAUCCCACAUUUGCCAUUCUCUACUUAAGGCAUUGUUCUCUCUCCCUAUUUGUAAAGUUUCACUUGUAUUUUUGGAGUGAAAUAUAUUUGGUAGUGCCCGAGGACGUAGGCAAGAUUUGCCGAACCUCGUUAAAAUUCUGGUGUUCUUUACUAUUUAUUGUUCAUAUUUUGUGAGUGUGAUUGUAGUGAUUUAUUGUGCUAUUAAAUUACGAUAGAGGGAUAUUCUGGCUAGGAAAGACUUGGUACUUAAGUGAUCCUCGUGAUUCACCUCUCUUUCCUGGGAAUUGAACUUAGUGUGAUUUUUUAGUACAAUAAUUUUACUCUUUCACACGCUUCCGCGCAAC